Anopheles cruzii is the source of this 341-nucleotide long non-coding RNA. RefSeq lists it as uncharacterized. The transcript is spliced from 3 exons. The record is from RefSeq and is a predicted model, not a curated record. Lineage: Eukaryota; Metazoa; Arthropoda; Insecta; Diptera; Culicidae.
AGUACCUUCUAAGUUUAGGCUCGUUUCGUAAUCGCUUAUCGUUUAGUUAUCGUUUCGUACGAGACGAAUAUGUUUGUGCUUAAAUGCAAUAUACAAUUUAGUCGGAAGAAUCUAAAAUUGUCACGAUUUUGUGAAAAAGUAAAAACGCUUCGCAUGCAAUGGACGAAAUGGACUACAGUGCCUAGGUUAGGAGGCAUACUGUUUAAACUUCUUCAUUGGACAGCCGCUACUGAGUCAGUUCUGGCAUUACUUUCGGCUAAAUAAAGAAUCUUCAGCUCUAUUCGAAUUAUCUGGACUACUCCAAAUCUUGUCAUUUGUGGUUUUUGACCCGUUAUGACGAA